Molecule: transfer RNA, 74 nt
Rfam family: tRNA
About the family: Transfer RNA (tRNA) molecules are approximately 80 nucleotides in length.
Source: Rfam
GUACGUGUAGCUCAGCUGGAUAGAGCGUCUGGCUACGGACCAGAAGGUCGCGUGUUCGAAUCAUGUCACGUACA